GACGUAGGGGGCCAGCGUUGUUCGGAAUUACUGGGUGUAAAGGGUUCGUAGGCGGUGCGGCAAGUUGGGAGUGAAAUCUCUGGGCUUAACCCAGAGGCUGCUUCCAAAACUGCUGUGCUUGAGUGUGGGAGAGGCGCGUGGAAUUGCAGGUGUAGCGGUGAAAUGCGCAGAUAUCAGGAGGAACACCGGUGGCGAAGGCGGAUCUCUGGGCCAUUACUGACGCUGAGGAGCGAAAGCGUGGGGAGCAAACAGG
RNAcentral lists this ribosomal RNA (253 nucleotides) under uncultured bacterium. Its description in RNAcentral is "partial 16S ribosomal RNA". It matches the Rfam family "Bacterial small subunit ribosomal RNA", at positions 524 to 776 of the family's 1533-position model. The record is from RNAcentral.